AAGGAAGCCAGUCCCGGCAGCUUGGGGGCUCCCAGCAGCCCUGUGAAGGGAAGAAGAGAGAAAGGGUGCCCGGUAGCGGCGCCUGGGAAGCACUCUCUCCGUCCUCCCAACGCACUUAGGGAGGAAGAGGUCAAGCCCCCGAUGAGCAACAGUACGCCUGAGACAGAGGACUCGGAAGGGGAAGGGCUUGCUCCGGCUGCGGUUUUGGUGGUGCCAGCUCACAAUUGGACAGGACCCUUGCUCCUAGGCCCCGGGACCCCAGGUGACCCUGGCAGGGGGCGUGUGGUGGACCAAACAGGAAGUGAAAGAGGAAGAGGAGGCUCUGGGGUCCGCAGGCCCCAUCAGCACACGAAUUCAGUGUCCUAGAGAGCGCCGAAUGGGACCCAGGCCCUAAAGGCUCCGGCAGCUCCCGUGGCGCUGCCCUGGAGACAACGCCUCUAAAGCGUGGACCUUUGGACCAAACCGCGGUGGGCUCAGAGAGGGCGGUGAUUCGCCUGAGGUCACACAGCUGGAGUCAGAUUUCCAGUUCACUCCGGCCUGCAAUCCUGUCUGCAUCCCCUGCCGCCUCCCCAACGCCCCCACCAACCAUAGCGCACUCACCCGCAUCCUGUCCCUGCCUGUGUCCCUGUUCCUGCGUCACCGCUGCCAUCGCUGAUUAACUUUCUGUUUGCCUGCGUUAUCUGGACCAGGGCUCUGCCUUUCCAAAGAGCUCACACGUAAACGGAGAAGCAAAUAGUUAUCUAGGGUGGUGACAGACAUUGCUGAGAAGAAAAUGGAGCAGGACAAUGGAGUGGAGAGUGAUACAGAGAGGAAAAGAGAAAUGCAGGCUCCCUUCCCACGAGGUCCCCCAGUGCUCACCGGGGCUUCUCCAGUGACAGCCGAGGACUACCGGGGUCAGGCAUGGCUGCUUUAAGGGACACUGCGCCAGAAAAAGGGAGUGAGGUGGAAGAAUUCCUUUUCUUCCUUUGCGUUGUUGAAGAGUGAAAGCACAGGUCUCAUUUUCUAUGCAAGUCCACCAGAACCAGUGGUGCUGACAAGGAGCUGACCCUUCACGGCCAUGCUGGGUCCAGUUCCCUCCAAGGGACCAUCGCCAUCCUGGCAAGGCUCGGGGGCUGGGAUGGGGAGGCCCUGCUCCGGGUCCCUGGGAGACAGACUCCUUCCCACACCCACACCCAGACUCCUCCUCCGAUACCUCCCUCACCGCAUCCCCAUUGCGGGUCCCUGGGGCCCAGCAACUUUGGGGGCUGCUUCCUCUUGCCUGGCCCUGGCAGCUUUAUUUCAAACUGAGGCGCGAUUACAGAUCCAGUUCUUUUUUCCUUUUCCUUUUCAAUAAAGCUGUUUUGUGUCUCCACCGCCCCCCUCUGCUGCAUUCCUCCCAUCUGAGUCGUCCCCUUGCCCCUCCUGUAGGAAAUGUCUCGGAUUCUCUCACUGGGGUGUAAUGGUUAAAUUGCUACCAGCUGAUUAAACAGCAGCAGCGAAGAAACUGUAAUCCUCAGCCUGGGGAACCUGGGAAGGCAGGGAAUGAAGACCAGAUGACAAAGAGGCGCCCCUGCCCUGGCCCUUCCUCCUGGGAAAUCUUUCCCACACCUGCCCCCCACUCAGGAAGGAGCGGAAAGACAGGAGCAAGAGAUCAGAGAGGGCUCUCUUGGAAGACGGAAAAGGCAGGCUUGGGGUUUUCUCCACCCAACCGAAACGAGAUCAUGAAGUCAGUGCUGACUUUCUUGGAGCCUCUCUGAGCCUCGUUUGUAGGUAGGGACAGUGGCCUUGCAAGGGGGCCACAAGGAUCGAGGGUCUAAUGCACCUCAGAGCACCCACCCGACCCUGAGUUAUGAGAAUGAACUGCUGAGAUUGGGGUGCAACGCAACCGAAAUAGCCUCCCAACAAGGGCCACCGGAAAAGCCAUGUGCCUCUGGGCUGCUUGCUGGACUCUCCGAUCCUUACCUCUUCACCUGCAAAUUGGCCUGGGACAGCUGGGGGAGCCCCCGGGUGUUCCAGAGUCAAUGGGUACCAGGAUCCCACCAGAGAGUAGCUCUGUCCCCUGUCAGCUCAGGCUGUGGGCUAAGAAUAGCAGGGCAACCAGCCUCCUUGGGAAAGUUUAUUUCUGUGGAAAGUCUAGUUCAGUCGAGUGGAGAAUCUGGCCUUGAUUUCCCCCCCACGCCCCCCACACCCCGCUCAGAAACCAGACAGACGUGUGCCCGGAUGAAGGAGGAACUGAUGCACGGCGUGGGAGAAGUGGCCACCCGUCUCGGCAGCGACCUUUCUCUUUCCACUGGGGAGAAAAGGCCACCACGUGGGAGACGAGAAGGCAGAGGGUCUGGCCACCAAGGGCUGCAGGCUCAUUGUCCCUGGUCUGAUUUUCCAGGAGACAGGCAGAACCACUCCUAGAGGCUGCCCCAUAAAACCCCCAAGAAGGUAAUUAAGUCCAUCUCAGCUGGCUCCUCGCAGCCCCAUUAUUCUUCCUUGGUGGACCUGAAGGUCUCAGUCUUUGAUCUUCUGCCCUGCGGC
Molecule: long non-coding RNA, 2505 nt
Organism: Heterocephalus glaber (naked mole-rat)
Lineage: Eukaryota; Metazoa; Chordata; Mammalia; Rodentia; Bathyergidae
Source: Ensembl